CGUGUAGGCGGAUUGAUAAGUUUGAAGUGAAAUCCUAUAGCUUAACUAUAGAACUGCUUUGAAAACUGUUAAUCUAGAAUGUGGGAGAGGUAGAUGGAAUUUCUGGCGUAGGGGUAAAAUCCGUAGAGAUCAGAAGGAAUACCGAUUGCGAAGGCGAUCUACUGGAACAAUAUUGACGCUGAGACGCGAAAGCGUGGGGAGCAAACG
RNAcentral lists this ribosomal RNA (207 nucleotides) under uncultured bacterium. Its description in RNAcentral is "partial 16S ribosomal RNA". It matches the Rfam family "Bacterial small subunit ribosomal RNA", at positions 568 to 774 of the family's 1533-position model. The record is from RNAcentral.